RNAcentral lists this small RNA (126 nucleotides) under human gut metagenome. RNAcentral's name for it is "Ribosomal protein L10 leader". It matches the Rfam family "Ribosomal protein L10 leader", at positions 8 to 128 of the family's 138-position model. From Rfam's summary of the family: This family is a putative r-protein leader autoregulatory structure found in B. subtilis and other low-GC Gram-positive bacteria. It is located in the 5' untranslated regions of mRNAs encoding ribosomal proteins L10 and L12 (rplJ-rplL). The record is from RNAcentral.
AGUAUUGACUGCCGAAGACAGUAGGUGCCGUAAGGCGUAAGGUUACAGCCGCCUACCGAGGAACGUACAAUUUGUAUUAAAUGACGAAUUUGUAGAGCCCCUCUGUCUUGCACAGUGGGGCUUUUC